CCUACGGGUGGCUGCAGUGGGGAAUAUUGGACAAUGGGCGAAAGCCUGAUCCAGCCAUGCCGCGUGUGUGAAGAAGGCCUUCGGGUUGUAAAGCACUUUCAGUGGGGAAGAAAGCCUUGGGGCUAAUACCCUCGAGGAAGGACAUCACCCACAGAAGAAGCACCGGCUAACUCCGUGCCAGCAGCCGCGGUAAUACGGGGGGUGCGAGCGUUAAUCGGAAUUACUGGGCGUAAAGCGCGCGUAGGCGGUCUGAUAAGCCGGUUGUGAAAGCCCCGGGCUCAACCUGGGAACGGCAUCCGGAACUGUCAGGCUAGAGUGCAGGAGAGGAAGGUAGAAAGCCCAGUGUAGCGGUGAAAUGCGUAGAUCGGGAGGAAUACCAGUGGCGAAGGCGGCCUUCUGGACUGACACUGACGCUGAGGUGCGAAAGCGUGGGUAGCAAACAGGAUUAGAUACCCGUGUAGUC
This 463-nucleotide ribosomal RNA is filed under the name Vreelandella stevensii. Its description in RNAcentral is "partial 16S ribosomal RNA". It matches the Rfam family "Bacterial small subunit ribosomal RNA", at positions 338 to 795 of the family's 1533-position model. Lineage: Bacteria; Pseudomonadati; Pseudomonadota; Gammaproteobacteria; Oceanospirillales; Halomonadaceae. The record is from RNAcentral.